GUCGAGCGGAUGAAGAGAGCUUGCUCUCUGAUUCAGCGGCGGACGGGUGAGUAAUGCCUAGGAAUCUGCCUGAUAGUGGGGGACAACGUUUCGAAAGGAGCGCUAAUACCGCAUACGUCCUACGGGAGAAAGCAGGGGACCUUCGGGCCUUGCGCUAUCAGAUGAGCCUAGGUCGGAUUAGCUAGUUGGUGAGGUAAUGGCUCACCAAGGCGACGAUCCGUAACUGGUCUGAGAGGAUGAUCAGUCACACUGGAACUGAGACACGGUCCAGACUCCUACGGGAGGCAGCAGUGGGGAAUAUUGGACAAUGGGCGAAAGCCUGAUCCAGCCAUGCCGCGUGUGUGAAGAAGGUCUUCGGAUUGUAAAGCACUUUAAGUUGGGAGGAAGGGCAUUAACCUAAUACGUUAGUGUUUUGACGUUACCGACAGAAUAAGCACCGGCUAACUUCGUGCCAGCAGCCGCGGUAAUACGAAGGGUGCAAGCGUUAAUCGGAAUUACUGGGCGUAAAGCGCGCGUAGGUGGUUUGUUAAGUUGAAUGUGAAAGCCCCGGGCUCAACCUGGGAACUGCAUCCAAAACUGGCAAGCUAGAGUAUGGCAGAGGGUGGUGGAAUUUCCUGUGUAGCGGUGAAAUGCGUAGAUAUAGGAAGGAACACCAGUGGCGAAGGCGACCACCUGGGCUAAUACUGACACUGAGGUGCGAAAGCGUGGGGAGCAAACAGGAUUAGAUACCCUGGUAGUCCACGCCGUAAACGAUGUCGACUAGCCGUUGGGAUCCUUGAGAUCUUAGUGGCGCAGCUAACGCAUUAAGUCGACCGCCUGGGGAGUACGGCCGCAAGGUUAAAACUCAAAUGAAUUGACGGGGGCCCGCACAAGCGGUGGAGCAUGUGGUUUAAUUCGAGCACGCGAAGAACCUUACCAGGCCUUGACAUGCAGAGACUUUCCAGAGAUGGAUUGUGC
This 957-nucleotide ribosomal RNA is filed under the name gamma proteobacterium BAL502. RNAcentral's name for it is "bacterial SSU rRNA". It matches the Rfam family "Bacterial small subunit ribosomal RNA", at positions 61 to 1016 of the family's 1533-position model. Lineage: Bacteria; Pseudomonadati; Pseudomonadota; Gammaproteobacteria. The record is from RNAcentral.